CCUACGUGUGGCAGCAGUGAGGAAUAUUGGUCAAUGGGCGCGAGCCUGAACCAGCCAAGUCGCGUGAGGGAAGACGGCCCUACGGGUUGUAAACCUCUUUUGUCGGGGAGCAACGGGCGCCACGUGUGGCGCCACUGAGAGUACCUGGAGAAAAAGCAUCGGCUAACUCCGUGCCAGCAGCCGCGGUAAUACGGAGGAUGCGAGCGUUAUCCGGAUUUAUUGGGUUUAAAGGGUGCGUAGGCGGGGUGUCAAGUCAGAGGGGAAAUUUGGGGGCUCAACCCCCUGACUGCCAUUGAAACUGGCGGUCUGGAGUGGAGGAGAGGUAGGCGGAAUGCGUGGUGUAGCGGUGAAAUGCGUAGAUAUCACGAAGAACCCCGAUUGCGAAGGCAGCAUACUGGCCUGCGACUGACGCUGAGGCUCGAAAGCGUGGGGAUCAAACAGGAUUAGAUACCCGAGUAGUC
This 461-nucleotide ribosomal RNA is filed under the name uncultured bacterium. Its description in RNAcentral is "partial 16S ribosomal RNA". It matches the Rfam family "Bacterial small subunit ribosomal RNA", at positions 338 to 795 of the family's 1533-position model. The record is from RNAcentral.